UUUUAUGCUGUUCCCGUAACACCCAGCACCAGUCCCCAAGGAUGAGUGCUGAAGAUCCAUAGCCAUGGCAGGGCAGGGCCUAGGUACUGAAGGAAGAUCCCACUCAGAGUUCAGUUCCACCCACUGCAAAACGCCCUCCGAGGACCCUCACUAGACCAGUUCCUCCAAGUGCGGUCCGCAGGCUGCCAUCAGCGGGAUCACGGGCCUUGUAUGACCUCUGAAAAUAUGACCUGAAGCAGAUGGAUGCACUCACAUAAGAAACAUCACCUGUGGCCUUCAUCGAAAAUGGGCCUGCUGCUUGAAGAAGUUGGGCUCUUGGAGUUCUCUAGCACAGGGGCCAUGAAAAUCAAUGACUUCCUUGUUUGCUGACGGAGCAGAGGUAGAAUCUCUUGGUGUUUCCACGGAGAAAACACUGACCAUGAAGAGCCAAGAAAGAUGACAUGAUGAAGCCAUCAGGGGAAGCACCAAACAUCCUCAACUCUGCUCACCCAUGGUUUUCUCCCGCCCUCCCAGAGCUCCUCCUGCUGAUGGGCCCCCGACAUGAAACUGGCACUCAGAAUGAAGAAUGCCUUUUCCAGCCUCCCUCGCUG
Molecule: long non-coding RNA, 590 nt
Organism: Homo sapiens (human)
Lineage: Eukaryota; Metazoa; Chordata; Mammalia; Primates; Hominidae
Product: long intergenic non-protein coding RNA 1588
Source: Ensembl